This 534-nucleotide ribosomal RNA is filed under the name Triticum aestivum (bread wheat). Its description in RNAcentral is "partial small subunit ribosomal RNA". Lineage: Eukaryota; Viridiplantae; Streptophyta; Magnoliopsida; Poales; Poaceae. The record is from RNAcentral.
AUGAAUUGCUUGCCUUUUGAGGACUUGAAGAACUGGGAUUAUGCAAUCAGUUAUGAUGUGGGAUCAGCUAGCCCACUAAGCCCCUCAUUAAAAUUUUCUCUAGAGCUUGUCAGAAGUACACAGCUGGUUGCAUCAUUCUAUCAGCACCAGGUUGUCCUAAGGGAGGUAUCACCUACGUGCCAUGUUAGUAAAGUAAAAGGAGGUCCUCGUUUUGAAGAUGCAGACGAAAUUGUAAACUACAUUGAUUUUGGUGUUGAACUAGCCACAAGGGUGGGUAAGGACAAACCAACAGAUGAUGCCGACAAUUCCUCGUUUCAGAUAGCUGCAAACUGGCAGGCCAAUAAGAACUUCCUAGUAAAGGGGAAGUUAGGGCCCUCCAAAUCUUCUGUAGCUUUGGCAUUGAAGUCUUGGUGGAAACCCAUGUUUACAUUUAGCUUCAUAGCUGUGAAUGAUCAUGCGAAGGGUACAAGAGGGUACGGAUUUGGAAUCCAUGUCGACGAUCAGAGAGACCCAGAUUCCAGCCAUCUCCUCUAG